This 232-nucleotide ribosomal RNA is filed under the name uncultured bacterium. RNAcentral describes it as "partial 16S ribosomal RNA". It matches the Rfam family "Bacterial small subunit ribosomal RNA", at positions 15 to 244 of the family's 1533-position model. The record is from RNAcentral.
GAUCAUGGCUCAGGACGAACGCUGGCGGCGCGCCUAACACAUGCAAGUCGAACGAGAGAGAAGGAGCUUGCUUCUUCGAUCGAGUGGCGAACGGGUGAGUAACGCGUAUCCAACCUGCCCAUCACUUGGGAAUAACCUUGCGAAAGUAAGACUAAUGCCCAAUGAUAUCCCACGAAGGCAUCCGAAUGGGAUUAAAGAUUUAUCGGUGAUGGAUGGGGAUGCGUCUGAUUAG